GAAUCUUGCGCAAUGGGCGAAAGCCUGACGCAGCGACGCCGCGUGAGGGAUGAAGCUUCUCGGAGUGUAAACCUCUUUCGACCCGGACGAAACGCCCGCGCAAGCGGGACUUGACGGUACGGGGAGAAGAAGCCACGGCUACCUACGUGCCAGCAGCCGCGGUAAAACGUAGGGGGCCAGCGUUGCUCGGAAUUACUGGGCGUAAAGGGUCUGUAGGCGGGGCGGUAAGUCGGGAGUGAAAUCUCCAGGCUCAACUUGGAGGCUGCUUCCGAAACUGCCGCGCUCGAGUGUGGGAGAGGCGAGCGGAAUUGCAGGUGUAGCGGUGAAAUGCGUAGAUAUCUGCAGGAACACCAGUGGCGAAGGCGGCUCGCUGGACCACAACUGACGCUGAGAGACGAAAGCUAGGGGAGCAAACAGG
RNAcentral lists this ribosomal RNA (418 nucleotides) under uncultured bacterium. RNAcentral describes it as "bacterial SSU rRNA". It matches the Rfam family "Bacterial small subunit ribosomal RNA", at positions 359 to 776 of the family's 1533-position model. The record is from RNAcentral.